GAGGAAGGGGAGGAAGGCGUGAAAAAAGAAACCCACACACAAAAGACCUCAUCAAAUCCACCCCAAUACACUACACCAGACACAAAACAAGAGACAAAACCCUCACAAUAGCUCAUUUUGGACCAUUUAGGGAGUGGCAAAGACGUGACAGAGGCCGAGGAAGGGGAGGAAGGCGUGAAAAAAGAAACCCACACACAAAAGACCUCAUCAAAUCCACCCCAAUACAUAACAGAGGACACAAAACAGGAGACAAAACCCCCACAAUAGCUAUUUUUGGACCCUUUUAAGAGGCGGGGGGAAGGUUGACCGCGGCUCCAACAGAUGGCGACAGUUGUCCAAUCAAUCCACAAACAUGAAGGGGCUCUGAGGUGUGUGGCGGACCUGUCUUAUGUGUAUAUGUGUGGCCAGUGGACUUAACGAGCGAUUACCACCAUGGGGACUUAACCACCGGGUCUCAGAGGCUACCAGAGGACAACGAAAGGGCAACGAACGGCGGAAACAUGUCUGGAAAAGGGGAAAAGGAAGGUUGUCGCAUUUGGCUGGAAUUCCAUGAUUCCUGAAAAAUUCCAACUUUUUACUGGUGCGAUGUACAGAAAAAAAGUAUUGAAGAAAAGUUGCUUAUUUUAUCACAAUGGAGUGAAAAAUAUAGUUUAUAAUCUUUGACCUGGAAAUUUACUGCCUACAGAGAGCCAAAGUUGUGGUGAAACUCAAUAAAUAAUUUUGGUAAA
Eriocheir sinensis (Chinese mitten crab) is the source of this 728-nucleotide long non-coding RNA. RefSeq lists it as uncharacterized. NCBI's taxonomy places the organism in Eukaryota, Metazoa, Arthropoda, Malacostraca, Decapoda, Varunidae. The transcript is spliced from 2 exons. The record is from RefSeq and is a predicted model, not a curated record.